CCUACGGGAGGCUGCAGUGGGGAAUAUUGGGCAAUGGAGGAAACUCUGACCCAGCCAUGCCGCGUGAAUGAAGAAGGUCUUCGGAUGGUAAAGUUCUUUAGUCAGGGAACAAUAAAAUGACGGUACCUGCAGACUAAGCUCCGGCUCACUACGUGCCAGCAGCCGCGGUAAUACGGAGCGGGCAAGCGUUGUUCGGAAUGACUGGGCGUAAAGGGUGCGUAGGCGGUUAUACAAGUUAGAAGUGAAAUACCCAGGGCUUAACUCGGGUGCUGCUUCUAAAACUGUAAGACUUGAGUGCAGUAGAGGUUAGUGGAAUUGGUGGUGUAGCGGUGGAAUGCAUAGAUAUUAGGAGGAACACCAGAGGCGAAGGCAGCUAACGGGACUGCGACUGACGCUGAGGCACGAAAGUGUGGGGAGCAAACAGGAUUAGAUACCCGAGUAGUC
RNAcentral lists this ribosomal RNA (444 nucleotides) under uncultured bacterium. Its description in RNAcentral is "partial 16S ribosomal RNA". It matches the Rfam family "Bacterial small subunit ribosomal RNA", at positions 338 to 795 of the family's 1533-position model. The record is from RNAcentral.